GUCACCGCAUCUUUAUAAAGGGCCGCCUUGGGGCGCGAAAAGUUCGUGAGGUGUAGUCGCGGCAACCAGGAGGUGCACCCACCACUAGAAUUUGAACAUCCUAAGAACAGGUAUUUUUGUCUCUGCUUUGCUGAUGUAUCCUCAGCAACCGGAACUGCCUGACAUCUGAUCCUUUCUGUGAGACACCAGGCUGUUGAGGAAGAAUCUAUGGCAACAUUGUAUCUAUUAAUAUACAGCUUCUGUAUUUAUCAGGCCCAGUUCUGGUGAUGAUUUCACUUUUGACAGAAGCUGUCCCUCAAAAGCAAACAUGCAAUAGAAGAAACAGAUCUCAAUGCCAUCCAUCUGCAGUUGUGACAAGCAAAAAAGUCUCCAGACAUGGCCAAAUGUCCCCUGGGGGGCAAAAUCACCCCCAAUUGAGAACUACUGCUCUAAACUAUGGAGUCUCACUCUGUCACCCAGGAUGGAGUACAGUGGCGUGAUCUCGGCUCACUGCAAGCUCCGCCUCCUGGGUUCAUGCCAUUCUCCUGCCUUAGCCUCCCGAGUAGCUGGGACUACAGGCGCCUGCCACCACGCCCGGCUAAUUUUUGUAUUUUUAGUAGAGACAGGGUUUCACCGCAUUAGCCAGGAUGGUCUCGAUCUCCUGACCUCGUGAUCCGCCCGCCUCAGCCUCCCAAAGUGCUGGGAUUACAGGCGUGAGUCACUGUGCCCAGCCAAGUUUAGUAUUUUUUGUAGAGACAGAGUUUCACCAUGUUGGCCAGGCUGGUCUUGCACUCAUGGCCUCAAGUGAUCCACCUGCCUCGGCCUCCGAAAGUGCUGGGAUUACAGGCGUAAGCCACUGUGCCUGGCCUUAAAUGGGUAAAUUUCAUAUGGUAUAUGAAUUAUAUUUCACUAAAACUUUAAGAAAACAUUAUACAGUACUGUUCAAAUUUUAAGUGGUCCAAUUUAAAUGCACUAUUGUAUACAAUUCUAUGUAAUGUCCUUACCAUGGUAUAUGUUAACUAUAAAUAUCUAUGCCCCUACCCUUAGUAUCAAAGCAUAUAUUAUAUGCCAGUGAGCCAAGCCCCACAUGUCUGUGAAAUGUGGUCUUCUAGCCAUAGAAGUAGCUUGUGCUCCUAGGGUAUUCCUUGAGGCUCUGUAUGAAGAAUGUCCAUUUGUUUGAGUCCCUAACCUACAGAAUAUUCCUGACCAUGGAAAUGUGAUAGAUAGGAGUAAGCACAUGGACCAAAAGGCCUGGAGGCUCAUCAUUUAAGUGAUGUUCAUAUCAGCAGUACAGCGCUGGACUUCCUAGUGAAGAAAACAGCAAGAUUAUAGACACAGUUUAGAAACAAAGGAACACCAUAUACAUUUAAAGGCAUAAAGUAUUUACUCACUCCCUGGCCACAGCCACCGUUACCUUCUCAAUCCCAACUUCGGAUAUAAUUAUUGAUAUAUUUAUAACGAGUUUAUGAAGAAUGUGAAAAAGGUAUAAAGAUUUCAUUAUUUACUAUUUCAUCAAUCAUCUACUUUUUUCUAGUUUUUGACCUAGUCCCUGAGAUGUAAAACAAUAUCUCUUUUUGAAUACAUCAUAGUCUAUGGGUGAGAAAAAUAUUCAAAAAGAUAGUCAAACAUGAUGAAUACAAAAGAGGCCUGAGAAAGCUCUGAUGGGAGCACAGAACAGAGGAAGGCUUUAGACAGGUGAAAAAAUUUACCUAAGUCUUAAAGGAAGAAAGGGAAUUUCUAAGAAGUAUAAUCUCUACCAUGAUUUGCAAUAUGCUUACAGGCCUUAUAGCCUCAUUUUAUAAUUGUGAGGGUGCAUUGACUCUAAAGACUCAGUGCUGAAAUAACCCUAAUAACAGCCCAACUAAUGGUCAUAUCUCAUAUAUACAGUCUUGACAAAUUAUUUGUGAACUCUAGUAUUUUAAAAGUUAUCCUUCUUUGGAAAAAUAGCAGUAGCAGAAAUAACACUCUUAUCCUACCUUGGCCGUGGAUUUAAACGUCAUCCAUUAGCCUAAUACAACGUUGCUGAAAAGCCAAAUUUUUCUACACUAUAUGCUUCAAACCCAAGAAAGUACUGGAGCUGACUAAUAAGGGAAGUCAUUAGCAGUACACAGCUGCUACAAAGAGCCUGAACAAAGUAACACAAAAUUAUCAGGAGAAAUGUUUUACACAGAACAGAUGUAGCAGAGUUUAGAAGCAUGCAGACUUUUUUUUUCCACAAAGGAGUUGCCUAGUAAUUAUGCAUGUUUUCCAUAGUAUUUACAUUAAACAUAAUGAAAACAAUGAACUGGUUGUCUUUUAUAUUCACAAAGUACUUCCCCAGGGAGAAGUACACUUCUUCUCUAGAAGGAGGAAGUUACUGUACUCAAAGAAUUUAAGGUAUAAAAGCAAAGAAUUUCUGUGUGUUCAAAGAAACAGUAUUCAAUGACUCUCCAAUUGUUGGACACUGUAAAUUGAAGUUUCCAUAAUUAUAGUCCUUCCCAGCUGUCCAUUUAAAAAAAAAAAAAAAAGCCCCACAGGCAUUAAUUCAAUCCACCUUUCUGGGAAAGUGUGUUUAAUGACAGUUCUUACCCUUUCCUUACUCUUACUAAACUCCAAUAUAUUCUGUUCUAACAUAGUUUAUAACCUAUGGUUUGGAAAACACUGGUUUAAGGAGCUUUAAGGCUGCCCUUUGGCUCUUCUCUAAAAUGAGAUAAUAAAGUGUGAUCACAAAUCAGUCUACGUAAGAACAUGAGCAAUGCUAGCCAAACUUAGCACGUUGGGACCUGCCUUUUGAAACUGCCUUAUAAGCUCUGAGCCAUGCUCUUUUGAAGAGUUUCAAGGGCAGACAACUUUUGAAAAUGGAUUUGAAACAAGUUAGUCUUUUGUUUUCGGGUUUUGAAGGUCACACCUUUGGCAUGUACUUCUUUAGGGUUGAGUUGUUCAGGUAUCUUAUGCUGAGAGAUUUUGGCUUUUAGUACCUUAGUCUGAGAUUUACUUUGUUUAUUGAUUUUUUUUUCCUGUUGUAUAGAUCUGACCACCCUAGCUAUGGACUGAAGUUGGAGCCUCUUUUCUAAUAUAAUGCAAUUGACCAAGACUGCUUGGGAGCAGCUGUCAGUAUUGUUUAAAGCUGUCAUUCAAUAUGGCCAAACUCUUUGUUAUCUAAAACCCCUUGUCUGAUCUGUUGCCUCUGUUUCACUUUUCCAAUUAGAUGAAUGACAGAAACAAAAAAUCGUAAUAAAUAUUGUCAAAUCUGAUUUUAUUAGAACCCAUGGGGUUUGCCUGAGGCCUUCUGAUUUUGUCAUGUAGAUAAUAAUGUCAUCUGUAAUUCCUUGCAGUACUGCCUGGCUCAUUUAGAUGCUGAUAAUAUCAUCUGAUCUGGGAGUGGCUUUUCUCUAUCAGAACUGCCAUUUCAAAGUUAACAGGAUUUUAGUGUGUUAAAAACCCUUUAAAGAGACACUGGCCAAUGGAGUAUGCAUUGUAAAUUUACCUAUUCAGAACUUGAUAAAUAGUUUAAGCUUGUUUAUAUUUUACUCCCUAUGUAACAAAGCUAGAAUUCUCAAAAAGAACAGUUUGAAUCUUAACAGGCACAUAAGCAUAGGAGAAGGCCAACAUAAAACAGGUGUAAAAUAAAGCAAAAAAUCGAAGACUGAACAAACCCUAAAAAUUGAUGUAACGAGAAUUUUAGGGAGGUGAUGUAGGCUAAAUCACUUCCUACCUACAGUCAUUGAUGCAAGAGGCUAUUUAAAGAGCACUUAAAGACCUACUGUCCUACUAUACUGUGGCUCAAUUCAAAAAAAUAAUGCAACAAAACUUCUAGAAAUCUUUCAGAUUGCUCAGUUCCAAAAAGGUAGCUGAGAAUAAAUUAUUUGGAUCUGGUUACCAAGUAUUACACCAAGUAGGGGUAACAUUCUUAGUGCCUGAGUUCAGGCAGCCUACAAUUGUGGUAAAGAGACUGUUCUACAGAUGACUGAUGGGUUUAGGUCAUGGUAGUGACCCAGUGCAUGUACAGUGUCGGACACAGAACUGGCCUUUGACAGGUGCUGGUUACACUGCAUCUUCCAGCCCCUACUCUCUCCUGCUCAGGGUAUAAAUUGCUGCCAGACUGAUUUUCCUCAAACGUUGUGCUGACUUUGUUAUUCCCUUCCUCAGAAACGUGUGGAGAGAUUCCACAUUCCCUUAGCCAGGCUUUCAAGGUCCCAUCUUAUCUUCCCCACCCUUCCCAAUCCCAGACAAUAUUAACUCCAUACCCUUUGAAAAGACCAUUUGAUUUCCUGCUUAUUGCUUUAUUGCCAUUUACCUUGGUAAGAAUGCCUGUUCUCUUCCUGUAUCCAAAUCCAUGUAUCUUUAUCAAAAUGACUGCAUUUGCCCCCUAGAAAACUAACCUAUCUUUGGAGAGUAUAACACAGCAUUAUUAUCCUGCAGCUGGUCUCUAGCAUAAGAAUUAUUUUUCAUGAAAUCUGGCUAUCUCCCUUUUAUCUCCCUCUUCACCAAAAUCUCAAAAAACUGUGAUUUACCUCAUAACCGUUUAAAAACGUUUUUCUUAAGAUAUUUAAGACCCAAACUGGCAUUUUUGUCAAAAACGCUGAGGAAACUAACUCUACAGCAAGCUUAUCCAAUCCAUGGCCCACAGGCCACAGGCGGCCCAGGAUGGCUUUGAAAGCAGCCCAACACAAAUUCGUAAACUUUCUUAAAACAUUGAGGGUUUUUUUUUUCCCUGCAAUUUUUUAGCUCAUCAGCUCUCAUUAGUGUAUUUUAUGUGUGGCCCAAGACAUUUCUUCUUCCAAUGUGGCCUAGGGAAGCCAAAAGAUUGGACAGCCCUGCCUACAGGCUCAUUUUCUGCCCUCUUGCAGGCAGCAGUCGGUGCAGCAUUACACCUCUGACCAGAGACUUCCCUAUUAUACAUCAUCAGCAGCCCUGGACAUCUCCCUUCAUUUCCUAAAGUGAUUGUGGCCACUGGUCCCUCAGAGCAUGGGCUCAGGUGGACUAAGCUUUGUUCUUUUGAUUUAAGAUGAACAACCAGCCCAAAUUUAGCACAGCUGGUUAACUGUAAUAGAGGCAGUCCCCCAAAGGAUCUUGUCCAGGGGCUGUGGACUUCUGGCCUCAUCCUGCACUCUUUUAGACUUCUGAUUCUACCAGUCCCUGCCUGUUAAUUCUUCUGACUCAUGGAGCUUUGGAGUGCCUUCCUUUUGAAAGAGUAUGCUAGCACUGGUCUUUUGGAAGCCUUCUGCAUUAUGUUUGUGGGGGCCAAGGAAGAGGCUGUCAAUCUUUUAAUACUACUCUGGGAAACUACUCCCUGGGAAGGACAAUGAGGUUGAAGUUAGCUCAGGUAGCCAAGGUAAUGGUGUCAUCCAACGCUAUCACAAGAAAAGGACUGAUGUUAUUUCUAGUGACUGCAAAUACUGUAUGAUGUUGCUUUUCACGGUCUCUAGAAUUUAUUUGACAAGAACAAAAAGCUGGCUUACAGCAACACUUCUAGACAAAGAGUCAAAGGUACCAGUGAAUUGUUUUUCUCAUUCUCCAAGCAGUAAAGUUCUGAAACUACGAUAGUUAUUCACCAACAUUUUUUUACUUCCGAGAUGUUUAAACAUGAUGGAUGAGAAUUUUUGCUGAAAUCUCCAAUGAAAAUACAUAGAUGCCUUUCUCCUUUGCACUUCUUCAGAACUUUAUGCCUGUACAAUAGCACUUAUUUUGCUUUGUCCUGUUUCUGUUUUGGUUGUGUACACUCUGGCCUCCCCCAGUACCAGAUUGAACUCUUUGAGGGCAAGGACUCUAAUUCAUAUUUGUAUCUUAUAUUAUGUCCAGAGAAUGGUAGAUCAUCAGUAACUGUUAGAUGGGUUGUUUUAGCUCCUCUUAAUGUCCAGUUGUUAACUUUUCAGUUGUAUUUCUCAUAAUUUUAAGACUAAUUUUAGGCCUACAUGUUGGAUAAGAUUUUUAUAAGUCGUAUUCUCAGCUAUCUUAGAAGGCUCGAGACCAUAAAGAUCAUGUAAUGGGCAGCUAAUACUCCUAGUGGGGGGGGUUCCUAAUUUGGCUGCUCUCCCCACUUUUGUAUUGUUAAGGCACCGAGGCAUGAUCAUUUCUAGUCACUUGCAAGCUUCCUUAUUUCUCCUUCUGACCUUGGCUCAUUACAGGACAUUACUCUGGCUUUUUGGUGUUUUUUCCUGAGACAGGGUCUUGCUCUGUCGCUCAGGCUGGAGUGCAGUGGUACGGUCAUAGGUCACUGCAGCCUCAAUAUCCUGGGCUCAAGUGAUCCUCCUGCCUCAGCCUCAGCCUCUGAAUAGCUAGGACCACAGUUGUGCGUCACCACACCUGGCUAAUUAAAAAAAAUUUUUUUUGUAGAGACAGAGUCUUGCUGUGUUGUCCAGGCUGGUUGGGAACUCCUGAUCUCAAGCGAUCCUCCCACCUUGUUCUCCCAAAGUGUUGGGAUUACAGGUGUGAGCCACUGUGCCUGGCCCAGGACACUACUUUAAUGAGAGUCUGGAUGGUGUCAAGGUGAACCAUGUGGGUUCAAGUCAGAUACCCUGGUCUUAAACCCUACUCCUGCCAUUUCAAAAUGUAGCCACCCACAGCCUCAGUUUUCUCAUGGGUAGUUUCGUCAUCAGUAAAAUGGGGACAAUAAGAUACACCUACCUCAGGAAAUAGAAUGAUCCAUGCACAGUGCUAACUAGUAAAUGCUGGCCAUCAUUAUUCCAGGUAAAUGGGUCUGGAAAUCUGAGACUAAGAUUACCUUAACUCUCUUACCAUAAUACAAUUUUGUUUUUAAUUACACAAAAUCUUUUUCUGUCCUUUCUUAUAAAGCCUGUUACUAUCUCUGUUUAUAAAAUAGCCGUAAUAGCUUCUUAUGUAGCCUAUUACCAGUUUUCCCUUUUAGCAGUUACCCAAAAGGAAUACUACUCUUUUAAAAGUACUUCAAAUUUUCACCUAAUUAUAAGGUGACAGUAGUAUUGGUGAGCUUUUCUAUUUUCUUAUUCUCCCCUUUACGUUGCUGCUUUGCUGUUCUUUUUAGAAGAAAGCAUAUUCUUCCUAUUGUGAACAGCUCUGAUUUUAAACCUUUCAAACCUGAAAAGACAGUGAAAUCACAACAGCCCUUUCACCUUCCUGCCUGCCCUCCCCAUUCCACUCCCAUAAGUAUCAGCUAAUACUAUUUAAGCUCUAAAGUUCAAUGUAGGCGAUUAAAGCUUUUAGCUGCAGUAUAUUUUUUUAGGACAGAAAUAGGGUACAGAUGCCCAGGAUUUGUUAAGAAGCAUGAUUUUGAUGCAGCAAAGCCCAUUUUAAGUCAGAUCAAGUUUACAGAGGUGUAGCUGAUUAUUUUGAAUAAUUAAAUGGUGUCAAAACCAGCUGUGAUGAAUAGCACUGGGGUCUCAAAUCAUAAAUAAUUGAGAAACUGGAGUUGCAUUUGAUCAUCCUGAUCAAAUUCGGCUCUCUAGAGGAUAAAUGUUUGUCCUGAAUACCAUCAACGUUGUUAAAUG
Molecule: long non-coding RNA, 7424 nt
Filed under: Homo sapiens (human)
Lineage: Eukaryota; Metazoa; Chordata; Mammalia; Primates; Hominidae
Description: non-protein coding PTPRG-AS1:19
Source: RNAcentral